CCCGCUGAACUUAAGCAUAUCAAUAAGCGGAGGAAAAGAAACCAACAGGGAUUGCCUCAGUAACGGCGAGUGAAGCGGCAACAGCUCAAAUUUGAAACCUGCCAACCGGCCGGAUUGUAAUUUGUAGAGGAUGCUUUGGGGUUGGCUCUGAUCUAAGUUUCUUGGAACAGAACGUCACAGAGGGUGAGAAUCCCGUACGUGGUCGGUUGCCUUCUCUAUGUAAAGCUCCUUCGACGAGUCGAGUUGUUUGGGAAUGCAGCUCAAAAUGGGUGGUAAAUUUCAUCUAAAGCUAAAUAUUGGCCAGAGACCGAUAGCGCACAAGUAGAGUGAUCGAAAGAUGAAAAGCACUUUGGAAAGAGAGUUAAACAGCACGUGAAAUUGUUGAAAGGGAAGCGCUUGCAAUCAGACUUGCACGUAGGUAAUCACGAGUGGUUCGCUGCUCUGCACUUGCCUACGUUCAGGCCAGCAUCAGUUCUAGGGGUGGGAUAAAGGCCGUUGGAAUGUGGCUCUUCGGAGUGUUAUAGCCUUCGGUGCCAUGCCGCCUCCCGGGACUGAGGACCGCGCUUCGGCUAGGAUGCUGGCGUAAUGAUUGUAAGCGACCCGUCUUGAAACACGG
RNAcentral lists this ribosomal RNA (616 nucleotides) under uncultured fungus. RNAcentral describes it as "eukaryotic LSU rRNA". It matches the Rfam family "Eukaryotic large subunit ribosomal RNA", at positions 24 to 664 of the family's 3401-position model. The record is from RNAcentral. Lineage: Eukaryota; Fungi.